AUACGUAGGGUGCAAGCGUUAAUCGGAAUUACUGGGCGUAAAGCGAGCGCAGGCGGGUCGGAAAGAAGGAUGUGAAAUCCCAGGGCUCAACCUUGGAACUGCAUUCGUAACUACCGGACUAGAGGAUGUCAGAGGGGGGUAGAAUUCCACGGGUAGCAGUGAAAUGCGUAGAUAUGCGGAGGAAUACCGAUGGCGAAGGCAGCCCCCUGGGAUAAUACUGACGCUCAUGCACGAAAGCGUGGGUAGCAAACAGGAUUAGAUCCCCUGGUAGUCCACGCCCUAAACGAUGUCAACUAGCUGUUGGGCCCUUCGGGGCUUAGUAGCGUAGCUAACGCGUGAAGUUGACCGCCUGGGGAGUACGGUCGCAAGAUUAAAACUCAAAGGAAUUGACGGGG
Molecule: ribosomal RNA, 395 nt
Filed under: uncultured bacterium
Lineage: Bacteria
Description: partial 16S ribosomal RNA
Rfam family: Bacterial small subunit ribosomal RNA
Source: RNAcentral